RNAcentral lists this ribosomal RNA (495 nucleotides) under uncultured bacterium. Its description in RNAcentral is "partial 16S ribosomal RNA". It matches the Rfam family "Bacterial small subunit ribosomal RNA", at positions 28 to 507 of the family's 1533-position model. The record is from RNAcentral.
GACGAACGCUGGCGGCGUGCCUAAUACAUGCAAGUAGAACGCUGAAGGAGGAGCUUGCUUCUCUGGAUGAGUUGCGAACGGGUGAGUAACGCGUAGGUAACCUGCCUGGUAGCGGGGGAUAACUAUUGGAAACGAUAGCUAAUACCGCAUAACAGUAGAUAUCGCAUGAUAUCUACUUGAAAGGUGCAAUUGCAUCACUACCAGAUGGACCUGCGUUGUAUUAGCUAGUUGGUGAGGUAACGGCUCACCAAGGCGACGAUACAUAGCCGACCUGAGAGGGUGAUCGGCCACACUGGGACUGAGACACGGCCCAGACUCCUACGGGAGGCAGCAGUAGGGAAUCUUCGGCAAUGGACGGAAGUCUGACCGAGCAACGCCGCGUGAGUGAAGAAGGGUUUCGGAUCGUAAAGCUCUGUUGUAAGAGUAGAACGAGUGUGAGAGUGGAAAGUUCACACUGUGACGGUAUCUUACCAGAAAGGGACGGCUAACUACGUG